GAUGAACGCUGGCGGCGUGCCUAAUACAUGCAAGUCGAGCGAACGGACGAUAAUCUUGUUUUUUUGUUGUUUGCGGCGGACGUGUGAGUAACACGUGGAUAACCUACCUAUAAGACGGGGAUAACUACGGGAAACCGGAGCUAAUACCGGAUAAUAUUUUGAUCCGCAUGGUUCAAAGGUGAAAGACGGCCUUUCUGGCACUUAUAGAUGCAUCCGCGCUGCAUUGGCUGGUUGGUAAGGUAACGGCUUAUCAAGGCUACGAUGCAUAGCCGACGUGAGAGGGUGAUCGGCCACACGGGAACGGGGACAGGCUCCAGACUCCUGCGAGAGGCAGCAGUAGGGAAUCUUCCGCAAUGGGGGAGAGUCUGACGGAGCAAGGCGAAGUGAGUGGUGAAGGUCUUCGGAUCGUAAAACUCUGUUAUUAGGGAAGAACAUAUGUGGAAGUAAAUGUGGACAUCUUGACGGUACCUAAUCAGAAAGCCACGGCUAACUACGUG
This 497-nucleotide ribosomal RNA is filed under the name uncultured bacterium. Its description in RNAcentral is "partial 16S ribosomal RNA". It matches the Rfam family "Bacterial small subunit ribosomal RNA", at positions 28 to 507 of the family's 1533-position model. The record is from RNAcentral.